This 483-nucleotide ribosomal RNA is filed under the name uncultured bacterium. RNAcentral describes it as "partial 16S ribosomal RNA". It matches the Rfam family "Bacterial small subunit ribosomal RNA", at positions 30 to 507 of the family's 1533-position model. The record is from RNAcentral.
AUUGAACGCUGGCGGCAGGCCUAACACAUGCAAGUCGAGCGGAUGAAGGGAGCUUGCUCCUGGAUUCAGCGGCGGACGGGUGAGUAAUGCCUAGGAAUCUGCCUGGUAGUGGGGGAUAACGUCCGGAAACGGGCGCUAAUACCGCAUACGUCCUGAGGGAGAAAGUGGGGGAUCUUCGGACCUCACGCUAUCAGAUGAGCCUAGGUGGAUUAGCUAGUUGGUGGGGUAAAGGCCUACCAAGGCGACGAUCCGUAACUGGUCUGAGAGGAUGAUCAGUCACACUGGAACUGAGACACGGUCCAGACUCCUACGGGAGGCAGCAGUGGGGAAUAUUGGACAAUGGGCGAAAGCCUGAUCCAGCCAUGCCGCGUGUGUGAAGAAGGUCUUCGGAUUGUAAAGCACUUUAAGUUGGGAGGAAGGGCAGUAAGUUAAUACCUUGCUGUUUUGACGUUACCAACAGAAUAAGCACCGGCUAACUUCGUG